Oncorhynchus kisutch (coho salmon) is the source of this 2963-nucleotide RNA transcript. It is a transcript of the gene named glycolipid transfer protein-like, with no coding region annotated. NCBI's taxonomy places the organism in Eukaryota, Metazoa, Chordata, Actinopteri, Salmoniformes, Salmonidae. The transcript has 5 exons. The record is from RefSeq and is a predicted model, not a curated record.
CAACUAUUAGGCGACAGUUUGUUCUGUUCUGUCAUAUCCUUCCGAUUUAAUUGUUCCAUUUUUUUUUUUCUUUAUUGAUAAUCUUCUCAGAGUAAUGUUUUGUACAGUAGCGUUGCCCAUUGAAUAAAUCACAGGUGUGUUCCGUGUCUAAACGUGACAUGCCAUUCGUGCAUUCAAACAUGUUUUAAAAAAAGACACUCUUGAAUGGACGUAAAGUGAGAAGCACUCCCACGCCAACUUGGUGUUCCUUGCCAAAGUAUACAGUUCAGUUGCCUUGCACAGUGAACACGGAAGAAAGCAAUUGUGAUCAUUCAGGUUAGUCGUAUUAUUUCAGAAAACGAUAGCACUAUUAAUGGAUAACCAAUUCGGAAAGGUUCCAGCCGACAACGCAGUGAAUACAAAGUUGUUUCUGGAGUCUGGCAUAUCUUCCACCUUUUUUUUGACUGCCUGGGGUCAAAAGUAUUUGCUCCUAUCAAAUCAGACAUCAGUGGCAAUAUAACAAAAAUCCGAGGUGUGUUUGACAAGGACCCUGCCAAGUAUGCAACUCUACAGCAGAUAGUGGAGGCAGAGAAGGAGACACAUGGCACAGAGUGGCCCUAACGUGGCUGAAGAGGUGAGCUCAGAACCAUCACAUCUGAAUGUGUUCGAGAGGUCUUCAUGUUUCAUCCAGAUCCUGCUGCAGAGCUUGGCAGACGGAGAGAAAGGCGAGAACAACCCUAACCUCAUCCGUGUUAACAUCACCAAAGCCUACGACCAGGCCCUAAAGAAAUACCACGGCUGGCUCGUGCAGAAGAUCUUUAAGGUGAUGGGACAUUCCAUCUUUUGAGGGUUGAGGAUUCUAUUUCAAAGAAGACGUUUUCAUCCGUGGCACCAUUUUUAUUAUUACUUUUCUGUCCCUCCUUUUAAAUCCCUCCCUACUGAAUGUUGAUAGUUUGGCCCAUGAUGAGUUGCUGCUGGACAGAAAGUGGCAUAUUCCGUGUUGAGUGUUUUUUAAUUCGUACACGUCUAGCACAGCUCUUGGUGCAGUCUGAUGCUGUUACACAUGAUUCACCACAGGUAAGAGACAUUCAGAAGUGAUAUCCUGAGAUCUGGUCAGUGUUAUUUUAAUACAGCAUCUCUUUCUCUGUGGGAGGGGAGAAUAUUCCUGCUAUUGAUUCACAUUGCACAUGACUCAUAAAAUUUCUACUGUAACUCUGCCAAGAAAUGUGAGAUAAUGCCCUCACUGCCUGGUAGCUACUGGGAAGUCAACUAUCCCAUGCCUUUAAAGAUUAUAACCACCAUUAGUGGUUUUAGUGACUUCAAAUCACAUUUUAUUAGUCACAUGCACCAAAUACAACAGGUCUAGACCUUACAGUGAAAUGCUUACUUACGAGCCCCUAACCAACAAUGCAGGUUAAAACAUUUUUUACGGAUAAGAAUAAGUAAUAAAAGUAACAAGUAAUUAAAGAGCAGCAGUAAAAUAACAAUAGCGAGACUAGGAAGCUUGGUCCCAGGGAUGUACUGGGCCGUACACACUACCCUCUGUAGUGCCUUGUGGACGGAGGCCGAGCAGUUGCCAUACCAGGCAGUGAUGCAACCAGUCAGGAUGCUCUCGAUGGUGCAGCUGUAGAACCUUUUGACGAUCUGAGGACCCAUGCCAAAUCUUUUCAGUCUCGUGAGGGGGAAUAGGUUUUGUUGUGCCCUCUUCACUGUCUUGGUGUGCUUGGACCAUGAUAGUUUGUUGGUGAUGUGAGCACCGAGGAACUUGAAGCUCUCAACCUGCUCCACUGCAGUCCCGUCGAUGAGAAUGGAGUGUGUGCUCGGUCCUCUUUUUCCUGUAGUCCACAAUCAUCUCCUUUGUCUUGAUCACGUUGAGGGAGAGGUUGUUGUCCUGGCACCACGGCCAGAUCUCUGACCUCCCUAUAGGCUGUCUCAUCAUUGUCGCUGAUCAGGCCUACCACUGUUGUGUCAUCGGCAAACUUAAUGAUGGUGUUGGAGUUGUGCCUGGCCGUGCAGUCAUGAGUGAACAGGGAGUACAGGAGGGGACCGAGCAUGCACCCCUGAGGGGCCCCUGUGUUGAGGAUCAGCAUGGCGAAUGUGUUGUUACCUACCCUUACCACCUGGAGGGUUACCCAUCAGGAAUUCUAGGAUCCAGUUGCAGAGGGAGGUGUUUAGUCCCAGGGUCCUUAGCUUAUUGAUGAGCUUUGAGGGGCACUAUGGUGUUGAACGCUGAGCUGUAGUCAAUGAGUAGCAUUCUCACAUAGGUGUUCUUAAGUUGUCUAUGAGUGAUGUUUUGUUUGCAUGGCUUUUGCAUGCUUGUUUGAACAACUGAACGUUUAGUUGUGUAGGGUUGCACUUCUUUCAUGUCUUUUUGUGUUAACGAUUUCAGUCUGUAAGAGUUUCCAUUAGUGGAAUCCAUAUUUUCAGUUCCUUCAAUUUUGUCAACACAAUGCCAAACAGUAUUUGGCACAUACAUGUACAUGUCAGUUUCCUUCACUAUUGGGUUGUCAUACUUCAUACUAUUUUUAAAGCAUUUUUUUCAGAAAGGUUAUUUCAGAAAUUGUAAUGUAUUUGCUAAUUGUUGGAAACUGAGGGGAGUCAUUCUAUAGUGCGGGUGAUAUCAAAAUAACAAAGUCAAUGCAUAUAUUUAUUAAUUUGCAAGAAACAUGCUUGGGUUUGUACUGUAUAUAUACCUAGAAAAUGGUUAUGUGCAUUGCUCACAUCAAAUCUCUGAAUGCCCUGUAGAUUUCAAAUGAUGAACCUAAUUUAUAUUGCAUUUUAAACAUUAAAAUGUGAAUUGAAGUACUGUGUAUUGAGUCACGGUGUCCUUCAUCACUUUAUACCAAAAGCCAAUGGAUAAAACCAGCUCCUGCCUACCUGUCAUAAGAAGCAAUUCACUUGUCAACCUCAUGGGGGGGACAUUUACCAAAUAAAUAUGAAUUCAUUGACUGUGUCCUUCUCAUGGGAUGCAGUUGCAACUUUUA